AGUGAACGCUGGCGGUAGGCCUAACACAUGCAAGUCGAACGGCAGCACAGUAAGAGCUUGCUCUUACGGGUGGCGAGUGGCGGACGGGUGAGGAAUACAUCGGAAUCUACUUUUUCGUGGGGGAUAACGUAGGGAAACUUACGCUAAUACCGCAUACGACCUACGGGUGAAAGCAGGGGAUCUUCGGACCUUGCGCGAUUGAAUGAGCCGAUGUCGGAUUAGCUAGUUGGCGGGGUAAAGGCCCACCAAGGCGACGAUCCGUAGCUGGUCUGAGAGGAUGAUCCGCCACCCUGGCACUGAGACACGGUCCAGACUCCUACGGGAGGCAGCAGUGGGGAAUAUUGGACGAUGGGCGCAAGCCUGAUCCAGCCAUACCGCGUGGGUGAAGAAGGCCUUCGGGUUGUAAAGCCCUUUUGUUGGGAAAGAAAAGCAGCAGGUUAAUACCCCGCUGUUCUGACGGUACCCAAAGAAUAAGCACCGGCUAACUUCGUG
This 492-nucleotide ribosomal RNA is filed under the name uncultured bacterium. RNAcentral's name for it is "partial 16S ribosomal RNA". It matches the Rfam family "Bacterial small subunit ribosomal RNA", at positions 29 to 507 of the family's 1533-position model. The record is from RNAcentral.